Molecule: ribosomal RNA, 253 nt
Filed under: uncultured prokaryote
Description: partial 16S ribosomal RNA
Rfam family: Bacterial small subunit ribosomal RNA
Source: RNAcentral
UACAGAGGUCCCGAGCGUUGUUCGGAUUCACUGGGCGUAAAGGGUGCGUAGGUGGCAUGGUAAGUUUGAUGUGAAAGCUCAGGGCUUAACCCUGAAAUGGCAUUGAAUACUAUCGUGCUGGAGGUUUGGAGGGGGGACUGGAAUUCUUGGUGUAGCAGUGAAAUGCGUAGAUAUCAAGAGGAACACCAGUGGCGAAGGCGACCACCUGGACUGAUACUGACACUGAGGUGCGAAAGCGUGGGGAGCAAACAGG